UACGUAGGGGCCGAGCGUUGUCCGGAGUUAUUGGGCGUAAAGCGUGCGCAGGCGGCUUUGCAAGACAGAUGUGAAAUCCCCGGGCUUAACCUGGGAACUGCAUUUGUGACUGCAUGGCUAGAGUGCGGCAGAGGGGGAUGGAAUUCCGCGUGUAGCAGUGAAAUGCGUAGAUAUGCGGAGGAACACCGAUGGCGAAGGCAAUCCCCUGGGCCUGCACUGACGCUCAUGCACGAAAGCGUGGGGAGCAAACGGG
This 253-nucleotide ribosomal RNA is filed under the name uncultured bacterium. RNAcentral's name for it is "partial 16S ribosomal RNA". It matches the Rfam family "Bacterial small subunit ribosomal RNA", at positions 524 to 776 of the family's 1533-position model. The record is from RNAcentral.